Molecule: ribosomal RNA, 438 nt
Filed under: uncultured bacterium
Lineage: Bacteria
Description: bacterial SSU rRNA
Rfam family: Bacterial small subunit ribosomal RNA
Source: RNAcentral
CCUACGGGCGGCAGCAGUAGGGAAUCUUGCGCAAUGGAGGGAACUCUGACGCAGCGACGCCGCGUGAGUGAUGAAGGUCUUCGGAUCGUAAAGCUCUGUCCUUGGGGAAGAAGAUCGCCUUUUAGGCGAUUUGACGGUACCCAUGGAGGAAGCCCCGGCUAACUACGUGCCAGCAGCCGCGGUAAUACGUAGGGGGCAAGCGUUGUCCGGAAUUAUUGGGCGUAAAGGGUGCGUAGGCGGCCUUUUAAGUCAGGUGUGAAAGCCCACGGCUUAACCGUGGGAUUGCAUUUGAAACUGGAAGGCUUGAGUAUCGAAGAGGGUAGUGGAAUUCCCAGUGUAGCGGUGAAAUGCGUAGAUAUUGGGAGGAACACCAGUGGCGAAGGCGACUACCUGGGCGAUAACUGACGCUGAUGCACGAAAGCUAGGGGAGCAAACAGG